GACGAACGCUGGCGGCGUGCCUAAUACAUGCAAGUUGAGCGCUGAAGGUUGGUACUUGUCCCAACUGGGUGAGCAGCGAACGGGUGAGUAACGCGUGGGGAAUCUGCCUUUGAGCGGGGGACAACAUUUGGAAACGAAUGCUAAUACCGCAUAAAAACUUUAAACACAAGUUUUAAGUUUGAAAGAUGCAAUUGCAUCACUCAAAGAUGAUCCCGCGUUGUAUUAGCUAGUUGGUGAGGUAAAGGCUCACCAAGGCGAUGAUACAUAGCCGACCUGAGAGGGGGAUCGGCCACAUUGGGACUGAGACACGGCCCAAACUCCUACGGGAGGCAGCAGUAGGGAAUCUUCGGCAAUGGACGAAAGUCUGACCGAGCAACGCCGCGUGAGUGAAGAAGGUUUUCGGAUCGUAAAACUCUGUUGGUAGAGAAGAACGUUGGUGAGAGUGGAAAGCUCAUCAAGUGACGGUAACUACCCAGAAAGGGACGGCUAACUACGUG
This 497-nucleotide ribosomal RNA is filed under the name uncultured bacterium. RNAcentral's name for it is "partial 16S ribosomal RNA". It matches the Rfam family "Bacterial small subunit ribosomal RNA", at positions 28 to 507 of the family's 1533-position model. The record is from RNAcentral.